CACAGAGGAACUUGUUCCUUGGGUGGCGAGCGGCGGACGGGUGAGUAAUGCCUGGGAAAUUGCCCUGAUGUGGGGGAUAACCAUUGGAAACGAUGGCUAAUACCGCAUGAUAGCUUCGGCUCAAAGAGGGGGACCUUCGGGCCUCUCGCGUCAGGAUAUGCCCAGGUGGGAUUAGCUAGUUGGUGAGGUAAUGGCUCACCAAGGCGACGAUCCCUAGCUGGUCUGAGAGGAUGAUCAGCCACACUGGAACUGAGACACGGUCCAGACUCCUACGGGAGGCAGCAGUGGGGAAUAUUGCACAAUGGGCGCAAGCCUGAUGCAGCCAUGCCGCGUGUGUGAAGAAGGCCUUCGGGUUGUAAAGCACUUUCAGUAGGGAGGAAGGUGGUGUUGUUAAUAGCAGCAUCAUUUGACGUUACCUACAGAAGAAGCACCGGCUAACUCCGUGCCAGCAGCCGCGGUAAUACGGAGGGUGCGAGCGUUAAUCGGAAUUACUGGGCGUAAAGCGCAUGCAGGUGGUUUGUUAAGUCAGAUGUGAAAGCCCGGGGCUCAACCUCGGAAUAGCAUUUGAAACUGGCAAGCUAGAGUACUGUAGAGGGGGGG
RNAcentral lists this ribosomal RNA (600 nucleotides) under Vibrio diazotrophicus. RNAcentral describes it as "bacterial SSU rRNA". It matches the Rfam family "Bacterial small subunit ribosomal RNA", at positions 70 to 662 of the family's 1533-position model. The record is from RNAcentral. Lineage: Bacteria; Pseudomonadati; Pseudomonadota; Gammaproteobacteria; Vibrionales; Vibrionaceae.